RNAcentral lists this small RNA (127 nucleotides) under Marmota monax (woodchuck). Lineage: Eukaryota; Metazoa; Chordata; Mammalia; Rodentia; Sciuridae. The record is from RNAcentral.
ACCAGGUGUGGUCGCUCAUGCCUGUAGUCCCAGUGACUUGGGAAGCUGAGGCAGGAGGAUCAUAUGUUUGAGGCCAGCCUCAGCAGUUUAGCAAGGCCCUAAACAAUUUAGUGAGACCCUGCCUCAU